ACGUCUGAUACAGAGAUGGGGCCAGGGCCAUUUGGGAGUUAUGUAUUGACUCCGGAGCCUUCAAAAUCUGACAGCAGCAAGAACCCUCAGAGGAAGAAUAGCAA
Notechis scutatus (mainland tiger snake) is the source of this 104-nucleotide non-coding RNA. Lineage: Eukaryota; Metazoa; Chordata; Lepidosauria; Squamata; Elapidae. The record is from RefSeq and is a predicted model, not a curated record.